UACGGAGGGUGCAAGCGUUAUCCGGAUUUACUGGGUUUAAAGGGUGUGUAGGCGGACUUUUAAGUCAGGGGUGAAAUCCCGAGGCUCAACCUCGGAACUGCCUUUGAUACUAUUGGUCUUGAAUCAUGUUGAGGUGGGCGGAACGGGUCAUGUAGCGGUGAAAUGCAUAGAUAUGACCCGGAACACCGAUUGCGAAGGCAGCCCGCUAAGCAAGCAUUGACGCUGAGGCACGAAAGCGUGGGGAUCAAACAGG
This 253-nucleotide ribosomal RNA is filed under the name uncultured bacterium. Its description in RNAcentral is "partial 16S ribosomal RNA". It matches the Rfam family "Bacterial small subunit ribosomal RNA", at positions 524 to 776 of the family's 1533-position model. The record is from RNAcentral.